This 253-nucleotide ribosomal RNA is filed under the name uncultured bacterium. RNAcentral's name for it is "partial 16S ribosomal RNA". It matches the Rfam family "Bacterial small subunit ribosomal RNA", at positions 524 to 776 of the family's 1533-position model. The record is from RNAcentral.
UACGGAGGGUGCAAGCGUUAUCCGGAUUCACUGGGUUUAAAGGGUGUGUAGGCGGGUAUUUAAGUCAGUGGUGAAAUCUCCAGGCUCAACCCGGAAACUGCCAUUGAUACUAUUUAUCUUGAAUCCUGUUGAGGUGGGCGGAAUAUAUCAUGUAGCGGUGAAAUGCUUAGAUAUGAUAUAGAACACCGAUUGCGAAGGCAGCUCACUAAGCAGGUAUUGACGCUGAGGCACGAAAGCGUGGGGAUCAAACAGG